Drosophila virilis is the source of this 2328-nucleotide non-coding RNA. The record is from RefSeq and is a predicted model, not a curated record. Lineage: Eukaryota; Metazoa; Arthropoda; Insecta; Diptera; Drosophilidae.
AAUAUUGACAUCAACUAAACCAACAAGUAUUUCAUUUAAUUGUGUACAUUUCAAUAGGUUGAGGGCCCAGACAUCGCAUUACCAAAAAAUUAAAAAAAAUAAAAUCAAAAGCGUACAUAAUUAAAUAAACAAUUAAAUUAUAAAAAAAAAUAGUCUUAUCGUUUAUAUGUGUAUGAAUAUUCGGCAACGCGUAAUUAACACAACUCCUUUGUAGGUUUACAGUGGCUCUAAAGAAGACAAAUCUUAACUGUGCACAAAUAAUUAAAGGUGUGUGAGUGAAUGAAACAAGAAUUUAACGUGACAACGUUUUCGGAAAAUAAAAAAGAAAAAUACAAUCCAAAAGGGUAGCAAAUUCAAGAAUAUUAAUAUUUAUAUGUUAUUGAAAAGGAGAAACCGGAAAAAAUGGGCUAAGGCAAAAGGAGCAGCAAACAAUAUAAUAAUUGAAUUCCUUACCGAUUCGUUUCUGUCAUUUGCUGAGAAUAAGCACUCUGCAAUGGAAAUUUUAAAGAAGUUAGACUCAGUGUUCGUCCGUAAAAGUUUAGCCUCGGUUCACUUUAAAAAAUUUGACGAAUUUAUGAAUGGGUUAAUAGCAUCAGGAGCUAAAAUUGAAGAGGUGGAUAAAGUGUCACACCUACUUUUAACUUUACCUUACACAUAUGAUGGGAUGGUAAAUGCUAUUGAAACCUUGUUAAUUGAAAAACUGACUCUGGCAUUUGUCAAAAAUCGACUACUUGAUCAUGAGAUCGAACUUAAGAAUGCUAGUAAGAAUACGAGCAAUAAUAAGGACAUUCCACAAAAUUUACUAUCGGUGCCAAAGAUGCAGAAUGCUGGUAUGACAAUUCAGUUCAAUUCAACUGGUGUAAGUGUUAAAGAACGGACAAGGCGUUUUAGAAGGUACUUUCACUACUCAAUACUACUACUACUCAAUAGUAGAGGCAGGCAACAAAUGCCUCAUCUACACAUGAGUAGAGGAUAGUUUAUAGAAGUUGUGCGAAAUAAUGUUUGAGGAUAUAGAAAUUUUAAGAAAUGUACAACUGCAUGACAAUUUGUGUGAGGCUUGUGUUAAUGGCAAACAAACUAGACUCCCGUUUAGUGGAACUAAAAAUAAAGACAAUGUCAAGAGACCUUUAUUUAUGGUUCAUUCGGAUGUUUAUGGUCCAAUACCACCUACUUGAAUUCAUGGUGAAAACUAUGAUGUAGUCUUUGUCGAACAAUAUAGACAUUAUUGUGUAAGCUAUUUGAUAACCUAUAAAUCUGAUGUGUUUUCAUUUUUUAAAGAUUAUGUGGCAAAGAGCGAGUCACAUUUUAACUUAAAGGUUGCGAAUCUCUGCAUUGAUAAUGGGAGAGAGUACUUGUCUAACGACAAGCGUAGCUAUUGUUUAGAAUAUGGCAUAAGCUACCAUUUAACGGUUCCUCAUACACCACAACUAAACGGAGUAUCAGAACGCAUGAUUGGAUAUUUAACAGAGAAGGCAAGAACAAAGAUCAAUUCUGCAAAAUUGGGUAAAAGGUUUUGGAGUAAAGCUGUUUUAACAGCAAUAUUUUUAAAUUAAUAGAACUCCAAGUAGGGCAUUACGGGAAAAGAACACCAUUUGUGGCACAACAAAAAACGUAUUUUAAAAUUAAAAAAAAAAAAUAUUUGGCUUAACGGUUACAUGACACUAGCAGCGAAAUUAGUCGCCUUCCUGCCUUCAACCAUUGAGAAAUAAAGUGAAAGAGCUAAACCAGACACUCUGAGCUUUUUAACCGUUUUAAAAACCACGAGAAUAGAUCGGGCUGGUCCGCAAACGCAAAAUCAAAAUCCAAAGAAAAGCUCAUUUACCAUAGGAAGCAACAGUGCGUACGAAACCUAAUUUGUUCUUCAUCCCCGUUUUGAUCGACAAGAGGUUUGCGAGCCAUGAUGAGGACAUUGGAUACUCAGUGCAAAGAGAGGGGACAAUAAAGCCAAUUUGUUCUUGGGGGUUUCUCUGUCCUUCCUACAAGGCAGCGCGUAGAAACCACAACAGCACAAUUUGGGUACUUAUGUUGUUAUUGAAGAGCCAAGUCUCAGCGCAAGCAGGUAUAAAAUUAUGACGCCAGCAAGCCAUGGCAAUCAUAUUAAAGGGAUACGCGGACGGCGCACUAACAUCAUAUAUUAUAGCGUCACAAUUAAUAGAACUUAAUUUUUUGUGAUGUUUAGUAUAUAUUUCUACUUAUAUUAGGCAUAUUUAAAUAAUUUAUGAAUAGGAUCCUUUACAGUAUAUAAUUGAAUGAUGUAUGUAAUCACUUUAAAUACGAAAUGAUCGCACGGAAUAAACCCUAGGCUGUGACGUCACAUGCGCAACAGAA